CAUCCCCAGUUGUCAGCCAGUGCGUUGGAGCACUGGAGGCAGGUGGGGGUGC
RNAcentral lists this microRNA precursor (52 nucleotides) under Pteropus alecto (black flying fox). Its description in RNAcentral is "microRNA pal-mir-9989 precursor". Lineage: Eukaryota; Metazoa; Chordata; Mammalia; Chiroptera; Pteropodidae. The record is from miRBase by way of RNAcentral.